AGACCCGAAACCCGGUGAUCUAGCCAUGGGCAGGUUGAAGGUUGGGUAACACUAACUGGAGGACCGAACCGACUAAUGUUGAAAAAUUAGCGGAUGACCUGUGGCUGGGGGUGAAAGGCCAAUCAAACCGGGAGAUAGCUGGUUCUCCCCGAAAGCUAUUUAGGUAGCGCCUCGUGAAUUCAUCUCCGGGGGUAGAGCACUGUUUCGGCUAGGGGGCCAUCCCGGCUUACCAACCCGAUGCAAACUGCGAAUACCGGAGAAUGUUAUCACGGGAGACACACGGCGGGUGCUAACGUCCGUCGUGAAGAGGGAAACAACCCAGACCGCCAGCUAAGGUCCCAAAGUCAUGGUUAAGUGGGAAACGAUGUGGGAAGGCCCAGACAGCCAGGAUGUUGGCUUAGAAGCAGCCAUCAUUUAAAGAAAGCGUAAUAGCUCACUGGUCGAGUCGGCCUGCGCGGAAGAUGUAACGGGGCUAAACCAUGCACCGAAGCUGCGGCAGCGACACUGUGUGUUGUUGGGUAGGGGAGCGUUCUGUAAGCCUGUGAAGGUGUGUCGUGAGGCAUGCUGGAGGUAUCAGAAGUGCGAAUGCUGACAUAAGUAACGAUAAAGCGGGUGAAAAGCCCGCUCGCCGGAAGACCAAGGGUUCCUGUCCAACGUUAAUCGGGGCAGGGUGAGUCGACCC
Molecule: ribosomal RNA, 682 nt
Filed under: Salmonella enterica subsp. enterica
Lineage: Bacteria; Pseudomonadati; Pseudomonadota; Gammaproteobacteria; Enterobacterales; Enterobacteriaceae
Also listed under: 1 other name
Description: partial 23S ribosomal RNA
Rfam family: Bacterial large subunit ribosomal RNA
Source: RNAcentral